UGAUCUGCUUUAUCUUUACAUAGAAAGUUAACUGUAGCCUGGGCCUUACAUUAGGUGAUAACUUUGGAUAUCACUUUAUAGAAAAACAACAUACGUUCUUUUGAGAAAUGACUUUACCUAGUACGAAAUGUGUUUUUGUAUUUCUGUUGUACUGCAGUUGUUGCAAAAGAGUUAUGACUCAGUCUGUCACGUGGUUUGGACCAAACGAUACCUACAAAUGUCACUGUGAUAAUGGCUGUAAAAACGACGGAAGCUGCAGUCAGAAUGGAGUCUGCCAGAAAGGCUGGUUCGGGUUAAAUUGCCAGUAUCAGGACCUGGCAACAAUAGACAAUGUCAGGCCAAUUCAAGAUUUAGACAAACUUACAGACAGAAAUGAUUCAACUUGCUUAGAUCAACAAAAUCAACUGCUAAUUAUACAAUGGAAUCGAACCUUUGUCUUUACCUAGCUACGUAUAGUUGUUAAUGACGCAACACUGCUGUCGUACAUUGAUGUUGAGUUUACAAGUCCGUCACAACCAUCACAAAAUUUGACAUGUGACAAUAAAAGACUGUAUCUUGUGAACAAGCAAACUCUGGAUAUCAAAUGUGAUGUGACAAAAGAAAUUCAAAGCGUCCUUAUAUCGGGAGCUGGCGUACAGUCAAUAUGUUCUUUAUAUAUUAAUGGAGGUAAACCUACUGCAAAUAUAAGUUUAGUUUGAUUAUUAAAUUCUUGGUGGCGCGAUAGCCGUGUGGCAAAGCGCUUAGUUUCCGAACCCGGAGUCGUGGGUUCGAAUGUCAGUGAAAACUGGUAUUUUAAAUUUCUGGAUUUUUUUUAGUUCGCUCCUGAGUCCACCCAGCUCUAAUGGGUACCUGACAUUAGUUAGGGAAAAGUAAAGGCGGUUGGUCGUUGUGCUGGCCACAUGACAUCCUUGUUAACCAUAGGCCACAGAAAUAAAAAAUCCCAGUCUUCACCAGGAUUCGAACCCCGGUCUCCGGUUCGGAAGCCAAGCGCUUUACCGCUCAGCCAAAGCACCUAUGUUCCCCAUUAAAUAUUUUGUUCAGCUAUAACAAUACAUAGGUGCGCGGUGGCUGAGUGGAAGGACUUGGCUUCCAAACCUGAUUUGGAAUCACAGUGAAGACUGGGAAUUUCGGAAUUUUUAGUUGAUAUAAUUAGUUGUAGCUCGUUCUAUUUGAUUAAGAAGCCAAGAAAAAGCCCAUACAUAGGAGUUGCGACAGAUCACUUAAAUAGAUCUCCAUCGGACAACGGCUUUGUAUGCUUUAGAUGUGGCAAAAUAUUCAGGUUGAAGGGGUUGUGUUUGGGAUCAGCGGGAUAGCAUGCUCUUGUAUGGUGUAAAAUUGUGGUCUGCAUACUUCUUAAGGGUCACCGGCCCCUGAUUUUUCUUCAGAGAUGCCGCUGGUCACUAACUGUAUCGGCGAUAACCGUUUCUUAGGCUAUAUCAGCUGCGGGGAGAAGGGGGAAACUGCUGUGUGGGGCGACAUAUUCCGCCUAAUCAAUCAUCUCAUUUUAUGAGGUGAUCGAUAGUUGCUACACGACUGAAGGCGGCCAUAUAGGGUUUGUGUGGUCAUGUGAAGCACUGCACUUAUCCUUAAUCUUCAAGAUCGAAGACCUUGCCAUUUUUACUAUAUAAUUGGGUAUUUUUAUACAAGCAGAAAAACAUACUUCUAUUAUAUUAUCUUGAUGUUAAUUCAGUUGUGAUUU
Long non-coding RNA from Biomphalaria glabrata, 1699 nucleotides. RefSeq lists it as uncharacterized. The record is from RefSeq and is a predicted model, not a curated record. NCBI's taxonomy places the organism in Eukaryota, Metazoa, Mollusca, Gastropoda, Planorbidae. The transcript is spliced from 4 exons.